UGGGGAAUAUUGGACAAUGGGCGAAAGCCUGAUCCAGCGACGCCGCGUGGGUGAUGAAGGCCUUCGGGUUGUAAAGCCCUGUGGGCAGGGAAGAAAACGUUGCAGUCAAAUAGGCUGCGACCUUGACGGUACCUGCUCAGAAAGCACCGGCUAACUCUGUGCCAGCAGCCGCGGUAAGACAGAGGGUGCAAACGUUGCUCGGAAUUACUGGGCGUAAAGCGCGUGUAGGCUGACCGGAAAGUCGGGCGUGAAAUCCCUGGGCUCAACCCAGGAACUGCACUCGAAACUCCCGGUCUUGAGUGGUGGAGAGGGAAGUGGAAUUCCUGGUGUAGAGGUGAAAUUCGUAGAUAUCAGGAGGAACACCAGUGGCGAAGGCGGCUUCCUGGACACCAACUGACGCUGAGACGCGAAAGCGUGGGGAGCAAACAGGAUUAGAUACCCUGGUAGUCCACGCUGUAAACGAUGGGCACUAGGUGUCGGCGGGUUUUGACCCCCGCGGUCGCCGUAC
This 508-nucleotide ribosomal RNA is filed under the name uncultured Pseudomonadota bacterium. Its description in RNAcentral is "bacterial SSU rRNA". It matches the Rfam family "Bacterial small subunit ribosomal RNA", at positions 355 to 851 of the family's 1533-position model. The record is from RNAcentral. Lineage: Bacteria; Pseudomonadati; Pseudomonadota.